This 276-nucleotide transfer-messenger RNA is filed under the name Rhodanobacter sp. FW104-R5. RNAcentral's name for it is "partial transfer-messenger RNA". It matches the Rfam family "transfer-messenger RNA", at positions 1 to 292 of the family's 374-position model. Rfam says of the family: Bacterial tmRNA, also known as 10Sa RNA or SsrA, is named for its dual tRNA and mRNA-like properties. The record is from RNAcentral. Lineage: Bacteria; Pseudomonadati; Pseudomonadota; Gammaproteobacteria; Lysobacterales; Rhodanobacteraceae.
GGGGGUGUCCUGGCUUCGACGGGGGUAGUGAGAUGACUUGGUGCAUGCCGAGGGGGCAGCUUUCCUCGUUAAUCCAGCAGCAAACUCAUAGUUGCCAACGACGACAACUACGCUCUCGCCGCUUAAGGCGUAAGCCCCGAACCCACUUGUGCUCAUGCUCGUCGGUGUAGGGUCAUUAUCAUGAGAUCGCCGAACGCUGCCGCCUGGCGGUUCUAGGCUAGAUCAAUCAGGCUGGUUCCGCGGUGCGCCUCGCCCAUCGUGCUUGUCGCGGAACGA